This 254-nucleotide ribosomal RNA is filed under the name uncultured bacterium. RNAcentral describes it as "partial 16S ribosomal RNA". It matches the Rfam family "Bacterial small subunit ribosomal RNA", at positions 524 to 776 of the family's 1533-position model. The record is from RNAcentral.
UACGGGGGGAGCAAGCGUUGUUCGGAUUUACUGGGCGUAAAGGGCGCGUAGGCGGCCAGUGCAAGUCAGUUGUGAAAUCUCCGAGCUUAACUCGGAAAGGUCAACUGAUACUGUGCGACUAGAGUGCGGAAGGGGCAACUGGAAUUCUCGGUGUAGCGGUGAAAUGCGUAGAUAUCGAGAGGAACACCUGCGGCGAAGGCGGGUUGCUGGGCCGACACUGACGCUGAUGCGCGAAAGCCAGGGGAGCGAACGGG